UGUGAAUUCAGGUGGGAAAACCCUCAUUAAAACAUCAACCACCUGAACCUCGCCCUCCUAAAAACUCAGCCAUCACAAAGGGUUUACUCCCAGGGAUUCAGUCGCGGUCCAGAAAACUUGGUAACGCAGCACCCACAUUCGUGCGUUCCCAGAAAAAAAGGCGUGCUGAUCACAGGGGCAGCAAAAGCGUGUAGUGAAAGUCCACAGUCGUUCGAAAUUGAAACAGAACCACCCCGCGCAAAGCUCUGACACCCGUGAGGCAAAAUGUUACUGUGAAAUUCAGAGAAACAGAGCGUGACUAGGGAAGCAGCAGAGAGAGAGACACACACACAGAAUCCGAAGCAGGUUCCAGCCUCCAAGCUGUCAGCACAAGAGCCCGAUGCGGGGCCUGAACUCACGGACCACGAGAUCAUGACCUGAGCCGAAGUCGGACGCUCAACCAACUGAGCCACCCAGGUGCCCCGAUUCGUAAUUUUUUAAAAAGGAGGGAGAAGGAGCAAUCCCUGCCGAUGGACACAGGCAUUUUUUGGCCCUAACGCCACAAGUUCUGGAAUCCAAAACGGGCAUGAGCUGCUGCAGGGAAGGCCUUGGUUCCCCCGUGAGCAGGGUGCCACAGCACAGGCACCGAUGAGGGAGGAAGCGGCACUGAGGAGGGAAAGGGGCAGCACGAGCCCCUGAAACCUCAGCUCCAUCACCUCCACACCCCACCCCUGCCCCGGAAGCCCGGCUGUCCCGGAGCAAAGCAAGGGGCUGGGGGUGAGGCCGCCACACCCGUCACGGGGCCAAGGCCAGCCCCUCACAUGGGAAACCUACGCGAUACAGGCCGCCUAGUGUACUAGGCCCGUGCUGUUCCCUCCGGCGCCGGUGAGCCAGCCGCCACCCUCUGAUGCCGGACUCCCCCAUGGGGCCCGGGUCAUGCUGAGCGCUGCCCCCGUGAGCUGGGCGGCAGGGCCAGGCCUCCCCGUGCAGCCUCACGCCUCAGAGGCACAUCGCUCAUCAGCAAACACUUCCACAGAAGUCGCUCCAGCUUCCCGAUGUCAACGGGAGCCAGAGAGCGCACGCCGACGAGUGCCAGGAACCCUGUCCUCAACUUCCGGCUCGGGUGGGACAGCUGGGCCACUCCAGACCUAUGCCGCUCCUGACCCAGGCUUGCAUCCCUCCCUUCGAAAGGGGGGCGGUGACGAUUGCUCCUUUCCCUUCCAGGGACCACGGAGGACGCCUGAGCAGACAUGUACCGCCAACGGCAUGCUUGACAGAUGGUCUUUAUAGCAGAGGCAUCAACGGGAGUGAACCAACGUGUGACUUAAGGUCCCCUGUGCCCUUCCCUGACGACGGGCAGUGACCAGCCCCCUCAACGUGGCUCUCCUUUGGGGUGUUACCACACGUGUCCGUUCCUUGGCCGGACGGCUUCGCUGUGGACUUUACGUGCGGGUGCCCUGUCUGCUCCACACGGUUUUCAGAUUCCGACACACGCACGGAGCACAUAGUGCGUUCACUCUCACCGUCGCCAAGCGUCCGCCGUACAAAUACACGGCCCUCUGCCAACCUGGUCACUUACAAACAAGGCCUUGAGAGCACACCUCCUGCCCUCCGUGGUGCCCACUCGGGAGCGGGACUAUUGGGUCGCAGCGUAUACACGUCUUCGCUGUUAAUGCCAAAUAGCUUCCCAAGUCCCAGCAGUGCUGUGAACAUAAACAGCGCUCUCUAGGAAAACAGACGUGGGAGAACAGAAACGUGCCGCCUUCUCUCAAAAUCAGGGUUGUACAACUUCCUGAAGCGGCAGGUUCGCUUUGGCACAGUCAUCGGGGAAGUGAGGGCACGACAAGGCUGCAGAGGGGACCUCGCCCCCUCGGUCUUACAGGUGCUCUGGAGAAACUCCCCGAAUACAGUGCUUCCUGGGGUGGUGAGCGCAGAAAUGGAAACAGCCACUCUGAGGCAGAAGGACAGUUGGACGGCAGCACACAGCUGACCCCGGAGACGUCAGGGGCCCCCCAGGCUCCACAGGGAGGUGCAAGUCUGCUGGGGGAACUAGCUCCCUAAGGGACAGGUGCAACGGCUGGGCCAUACUUACAGGUGCGCCUGCUUCUCCGCCAGUUCUUUGGUUUUCUCCUACAAUCAGAGACAAAAAAAUCAAGCAUCAGAAAAGACAGGACAGCACAGGAUGUGCUCAGCGAGAACGCCACUAAACGCCCAGCACACCGUCCGCGUAAAAACACGGCACUACUGUGCGGACUGUUUACUCGAAGCUGUGCCAGAAAGGCCAGUUUUCCAUGUGAUGUGACCUCUCUUCGUUCCAUUGCCGAAUAUGACCUGCGUGCUUCCUGUAACAGAGAUCAUUUACAACCAUCUAGCUGACUUAACAAGCGGCCCUUUCAGAAUCAGUAAAGCAGCUCAGGCAUCUUACAGGCGCCAGAAUGAAGAUUCUAUGCGCACUCGUACCGUCCAGCUUAACACAUGCGCUUUUCGACGUCGGCCACGGCAACAGGUGGAUGGCUGUAUGGAGUGUUCACAGACGCAUUUAAACGUCCCGACGGGGACACGGGUUAGCCAACAUCCUGCAUCACUUUUAACUGAGAAGUUAUUCUUGCUUUAGUAGCAAGCUGUCAUCUGACAGAGCAGAGAUCCACUUGUUCCAAGACGUGCUCGCCCACCUCUAGUGGCGGAAGACAGACGGCUCUUGCUGCCCGACAGACAAAUGAACAACAAAAACGUACGGGGCUCUCGCCAGACCAGGGCUGAGGUGUGUGGACAGACGGGGGAAGCAGGCAGGGUGUAGCCCGGAUUCUGACUCCCUCGUGAGCCCCAGACCCUGGAUAAAGUAGUUCACCUCCACGAACCUUGGCUUCCACGCCCGUACGGUGGGGGACAAGGCUAAUCCCAGGAGCACCUCCGACAGCCACGGGCGGCACUCGGGCUCAGGCUGGCAGACGGCUCCCCGCCCGCCUCUAUGCUCCAUCACAAGCCAAGUUACACCCUCCUUGCCUCGGUUUCCUCAGCGGGGCGUGGGGUACGGCUCCCGCGUCGUAGCGUCUGACUUACUAGUGUCUGGCCCAGAGCAGGCUUAGGACAGGACAGCGAGCUAUGUAGAAACUCACAACCCCUGAGCCUCAGGCCCCCGGUCACCACAGGCCCUAGUGUGCUCAGGCUGAUGUACCUCAUGGACUUCACCUGGCCCGCACGGACCGCACUUGACCGUGCACUUGACUGCACGGAGGGAAGCGACCACACCAGGGCCAUACCAACACCAAUCCACGUGGGAACCGUCAGAGGUGGCCUCGGAUAGCCACAAUGCACGGGGAUUACUUGUACAAACCUUGGGAGGUGACAGCCCAUGUUGGCUUUUGCUUUUAAAAGGUUUCAAUUAUUUUAAACGUGCAUUUUAAUCUGAAAUAUCUAUCCAGUUUCUGCA
This is a long non-coding RNA of Neofelis nebulosa (Clouded leopard), 3409 nucleotides long. RefSeq lists it as uncharacterized. The transcript has 2 exons. NCBI's taxonomy places the organism in Eukaryota, Metazoa, Chordata, Mammalia, Carnivora, Felidae. The record is from RefSeq and is a predicted model, not a curated record.